CCGCGUCCCCUGCAUCGGCAGGCAGACUCUCAACCACUGCGCCACCAGGGAAGCCCUCACUUCUUUUUUGGAUCCAUCUCUCACCUUCAUGAGGAGCAUGAUUCCAAUGAGAUGGACACAUCAAUCAAUCAAGAAAAAAAUUCUAGUUGACCUGACAUGAGAGAGUUGGGCUCUGCGAUUUCAAGGCCUGAGGUGGAGAGAUGCUGCGUGCAGGCUGGGGAAACCUGACCAUCUGCAGUGUCACAGGGCCAGUGCUGCUGAAGUACGAGCAGAGGGUCCCCACUGCUCUCUUCGGCGUCACACCUGGCCUGUUCUACCCAUCUGCAUCACCUCUGCCUGGCCCCUCUGUGUACGUGUCAGCCCAACAUCCCUACUCCGCUGAUGAGGGGACUAAGGCCCGAGGAGGCACAGUAAUUCGCCCAAGGUCACACUGCAGUUGAAUAGAGCUGGGAUAUAAACUCUGUUUUCCAAUUAAACACUUU
Long non-coding RNA from Lagenorhynchus albirostris (white-beaked dolphin), 482 nucleotides. RefSeq lists it as uncharacterized. The record is from RefSeq and is a predicted model, not a curated record. The transcript is spliced from 3 exons. NCBI's taxonomy places the organism in Eukaryota, Metazoa, Chordata, Mammalia, Artiodactyla, Delphinidae.